RNAcentral lists this long non-coding RNA (1838 nucleotides) under Bemisia tabaci. RNAcentral's name for it is "lncRNA ENSASIAIIG004321". Lineage: Eukaryota; Metazoa; Arthropoda; Insecta; Hemiptera; Aleyrodidae. The record is from RNAcentral.
AUUUUUUUGUUUUCAAUUCUUUUCUAUGACUAUAAAUCUAAACAAGAAUGUUUUAUUUUUCAGGACCCAGGCAAGAUCCACCUCCGAAACAGGUGUACCGUCCACCGCAGCGGAAAACAGGGCCACCUGAACCUGCCAGACCAGAACCCAGAGAAAAUAGACCAGAACCGCCUCCUCCCGGCAAGGAAAAUAAGGAUGUUAAAAUAUCUUCGGAAAAAUGGGUCCCAUCUUUCCGUCGGGGGAAGACCGAAGGUGCAUCUAAUGGUGGUCCACGCAACUAGUUUAAGUACUUCUUUACUUAUUUUUCUAUAUAAUAAAUUUUUGUCAAUUUCCGACAUUACUCCUUUUUCUUUUUCUACUCCGCUCAUUUCUCCUGUCUUUAAUUUUAUUGUUGACUUUUGUAGCAUGUCAUACGUUUAUGGUAAUGAAAUAUAGGUUUUUUAAACUUCUGUUUUGAGAACAUGAUUGUGUGCCCCUUGGAAAGAAACUCAUGAAAAAAUAACAAUAGAAACAAGAAAUGAGGAUGUGUUAUUUUACCUCAGAAGCUUCUUGUUGUCGAGCUAGUGCACUAGAUAAGGUAUGAGUUAAAGCACUGCGUAACUUGUUCCCUCUCAAAAAUUUCACAAGGAAAGCGAAUCACACAAUGGGAAGGAAGAUUGGACAUCAACCUUUAAACAAUAUAUAGGUGUCUAGAAUUAACAUAAGUUAAAUGGCAUAAAUACAACUAAUGUCAUUAGUGUAUGAUCUAACUUCGAUUUGAUCUGUGUUAAAAACUUUGGUUUACAUCUUGUUCAGGAGUUAAGGUGAUUCGAUGGACGCCAUAUUUUGUGUCAGAACGGCAUGCAAUAUAUCGCGUCAAUUGGUUCCAUAUUUUCAGCUACUCGACAUUUUUCUCCUAUUUUGAAAUCGCAAUUCUGUUGUCAGGAGACUAAAGCACUCACUUACCAAUUUUAUCAAAGAAAUUCAACCUAAUAAAGGCGUGGUUUUUUCAGAGAGAAAAUAUCGCAUUCGAUACUGAUAUCGAAACUGCACUCGAAUGCGAUGUUUUCUCUCUGAAAAAACCACGCCUUUAUUAGGUUGAAUUUCUUUGUUAAAAUUGGUAAGUAAGUGCUUUAGACUCCUGACAACAGAAUUGCGAUUUCAAAACAGGAGAAAAAUGACGAGUAGCUGAAAAAAUGGAGCCAGUUGAUGCGAUAUAUCGCAUGCCGUUCUGACACAAAAUAUGGUGUCCAUCGAAUCACCUUAAUUUCCGAGGUUACAGUUGUGUGAUUCAUUUUCUAGGUGAGAUUUUGAAGAGGAAUCAUGUGACAUUUUCUCCUCGUUCAGACCUUGCCUAGUUUCCCAUAAACGAAUUUUACAGCUCUUCAACUCGCGUCUGCAUUUUUUGUCUCUUGUCAGAAUGCAGACUUAGUGCUUGCACUACAGAACAAACCAAACGAAGUGCAAACAAAAGAAGCGUGUAAUUAUCGAAAGUACAACUGUGCAAUUUCUUUGUAUGGCUAACGUGGCAGUUGAAAGUAUAAUUUUUUAGAACUAAUAAUGCUUGGUCCCAGAUGAGCUUUCCAGCUAUUGCUUUUCCGUUGCUUGAUACUGUUUUAAAUGGGUGCAAGAUGAAGUCAUCAGAAAUUGAAGGUAGGCAACUGCGACAAAAAUUAUAAGAUCGCAAAUGCUCUCUAUCGCUCACAUAGAGGUCAACACUUUGCAAACCAGCCAGGUCAAUUAUCGAAGUUUUUUUUUUUCCAUCUGAGUAAGGAGUGUGUGGUGAAUUGUGAUUACCCGAGCCGGAGGGACUGCAGCCAUUACCAUCGCCAGGGAUUGUUUUCACCACUUCAGUUUUU